RNAcentral lists this ribosomal RNA (433 nucleotides) under uncultured bacterium. Its description in RNAcentral is "partial 16S ribosomal RNA". It matches the Rfam family "Bacterial small subunit ribosomal RNA", at positions 29 to 507 of the family's 1533-position model. The record is from RNAcentral.
AACGAACGCUGGCGGCAUGCCUAACACAUGCAAGUCGAACGAGACCUUCGGGUCUAGUGGCGCACGGGUGCGUAACGCGUGGGAACCUGCCCUUAGGUUCGGAAUAACUCCCCGAAAGGGGUGCUAAUACCGGAUAAUGUCUUCGGACCAAAGAUUUAUCGCCUUUGGAUGGGCCCGCGUUGGAUUAGCUAGUUGGUAGGGUAAAAGCCUACCAAGGCGACGAUCCAUAGCUGGUCUGAGAGGAUGAUCAGCCACACUGGGACUGCGACACGGCCCAGACUCCGACGGGAGGCAGCAGUGGGGAAUAUUGGGCGAUGGGCGAAAGUCUGAUCCAGCAAUGCCGCGUGAGUGAUGAAGGCCUUAGGGUUGUAAAGCUCUUUUACCCGGGAUGAUAAUGACAGUACCGGGAGAAUAAGCUCCGGCUAACUCCGUG